AACCUCCGCAAUGUGAGAAAUCGCGACGGGGGGAUCCCAAGUGCCAUUCUUAACGGGAUGGCUUUUCAUUAGUGUAAAGAGCUUUUGGAAUAAGAGCUGGGCAAGACCGGUGCCAGCCGCCGCGGUAACACCGGCAGCUCUAGUGGUAACAAUUUUUAUUGGGCCUAAAGCGUCCGUAGCCGGUUUAAUAAGUCUCUGGUGAAAUCCUGUAGCUUAACUGUGGGAAUUGCUGGAGAUACUAUUAGACUUGAGACCGGGAGAGGUUAGAGGUACUCCCAGGGUAGAGGUGAAAUUCUGUAAUCCUGGGAGGACCGCCUGUUGCGAAGGCGUCUAACUGGAACGGUUCUGACGGUGAGGGACGAAAGUUAGGGGCGCGAACCGGAUUAGAUACCCGGGUAGUCCUAACUGUAACGAUGCGACUUGGUGUUGGGUGGCUUUGAGCUGCUUCAGUGCCGAAGGGAAGCUGUUAAGUCCGCCGCCUGGGAAGUACGGUCGCAAGACUGAAACUUAAAGGAAUU
This 518-nucleotide ribosomal RNA is filed under the name uncultured bacterium. RNAcentral's name for it is "bacterial SSU rRNA". It matches the Rfam family "Archaeal small subunit ribosomal RNA", at positions 345 to 866 of the family's 1478-position model. The record is from RNAcentral.